GUGCCACGUGUCCCACGUCUCCCAGUGGGAGACGUUGGAUGUCCCCCUGGCCAUUUAAUGAAUUUUGGGUCUUCUUCUUCCUCAUAACACCAAACAGAGAGAGCACACCAAACAGAGAGCACGAAAGGGGUUGCGAUUUUAGGGUUUUCAAGGUUGUGAUUUUGGUGGUGAGAUUUUAGAGAGUACUUUGCAUCAAAACUUCUAUAUCUAUCAAUCACACAUUUGAGAUGGUUAGGUCACUAUUAUAGGGGAAAUGCUGCCCGAUAUUAUUUAGGAUAAUAAACGAUUAGUUGAGAACGGGCAUUACUUGAUUGAACAUGCAAGUCCCAGGCAUUACUUGAGAACGCUAACAAGCACAUCAUAUACAGAGGCACAAAUUGAUGAGUUGCGACAAGAAUGGGCGACAUAUAUGUUGCCGAUAAUCCAAAGUUACCGACCUCGUUGAUAGGUUUUUUUUUUAAUUUUUUAACUCUUUCUUCAUACACAAUGCAAUAUUUGUUCAUUUUGAAUAUUUCUAACAAAUAUUGUAUUUCUUGUAUAUAUCUAACAAAUAUAUUUUUUUAUUUCAAUUUAAAUUAAU
Humulus lupulus (European hop) is the source of this 580-nucleotide long non-coding RNA. RefSeq lists it as uncharacterized. The transcript is spliced from 4 exons. NCBI's taxonomy places the organism in Eukaryota, Viridiplantae, Streptophyta, Magnoliopsida, Rosales, Cannabaceae. The record is from RefSeq and is a predicted model, not a curated record.